RNAcentral lists this unclassified non-coding RNA (408 nucleotides) under uncultured Funneliformis. Its description in RNAcentral is "sequence contains 28S rRNA gene". Lineage: Eukaryota; Fungi; Glomeromycota; Glomeromycetes; Glomerales; Glomeraceae. The record is from RNAcentral.
AGUUAAACAGUACGUGAAAUUGUUGAAAGGGAAACGAUUGAAGUCAGUCAUACCAACGGGAAAUCAACCUUUUGAGCUUGGUCUCGUGGGUUUUGAAGAGUUUCAAAGCCUUCGGAUUCGCGGGAUUGGGAUCUCUUGGUGUACUUUUUCGUUCGGUUAGUCAACAUCGGUUUUGAAUGUCAUAAAAUGACUGGAGGAAUGUAGCUUCGAUCUCGUAUUGAAGUUUUAUAGCCUUUGGUAGAUGUGAUGUUUGAGACCGAGGAUUGCAACGGAUACCCUUCAGGGCUAUUCGUCUGAUCUCUGAUACGUUGCCUUGAUGUUGAAAGCUUGCUUAUGAUGUUAGGGUAUUACGGUCAAAAGGUUAGAACGAAUUACAUUCGUUAAGGAUGUUGACGUAAUGACUUUAAA